GACGAACGCUGGCGGCGUGCCUAACACAUGCAAGUCGAACGGAAAGGCCCUGCUUUUGUGGGGUGCUCGAGUGGCGAACGGGUGAGUAACACGUGGGUAACCUGCCCUUGACUUUGGGAUAACUUCAGGAAACUGGGGCUAAUACCGGAUAGGAGCUCCUGCUGCAUGGUGGGGGUUGGAAAGUUUCGGCGGUUGGGGAUGGACUCGCGGCUUAUCAGCUUGUUGGUGGGGUAGUGGCUUACCAAGGCUUUGACGGGUAGCCGGCCUGAGAGGGUGACCGGCCACAUUGGGACUGAGAUACGGCCCAGACUCCUACGGGAGGCAGCAGUGGGGAAUAUUGCACAAUGGGCGGAAGCCUGAUGCAGCAACGCCGCGCGCGGGAUGACGGCCUUCGGGUUGUAAACCGCUUUCGCCUGUGACGAAGCGUGAGUGACGGUAAUGGGUAAAGAAGCACCGGCUAACUACGU
This 467-nucleotide ribosomal RNA is filed under the name uncultured bacterium. RNAcentral's name for it is "partial 16S ribosomal RNA". It matches the Rfam family "Bacterial small subunit ribosomal RNA", at positions 28 to 506 of the family's 1533-position model. The record is from RNAcentral.